UCCUAGAUUACCUUGUUCAUGAUGCUGAGGACGAUGGAGUAGACAAAGCCAAUUCCAGCCACAGCCACCAGACACAGCAGGAAGAGGCACUGUCAGCCUCCUCCCCCCUCUCACCUGACACUGGGUUUGGGAGGUGGGUCUUUGUCACGGGAACGCUCUCACCUGAUGCGGGGUAGACUGAUAUUAGGACUGGCUGCUGUGAGAAUUACAGGUGCCGCUGACCAACACGGCGUCACAUGGCAUAAUGGUCCCAUUGCUGGGGAUGACCAUCACAUCACCGGGCACCAAAUCAGUAGACAAAGUCUCUUCGAUUUCUUCCAGGAAGUGGGGUACAAUGGAGUAGUGGAGAAGGCCUACAUUGUCCCACCCCAGCAGUGAUCUGGAGGACACCCAAAGCAGAGUGACUGUGUAAUUGUGUCUGGUCCAGCAAAGAAGCAGAGAACUACUACUGUCAGGAAUGGUUUGGAAUGCGCUCUUGGAAAUAAAAUGAUACAUGCUGUGUACUACUAUUAAAAUAACUAUACAGAGGCCAUCUGCAAGAAGAAAAUAAAAACACAAAAACAAAAAAUAUAUAGACAAACCAUUGUUGGCUCGGCAUACGGUCACACGGACAAUACUGUGAGCUGCCACCAUAUCGUGAAGCAUGAUGUAUUGCUGGAAAAAAGAAAAAGAAAUCCGAUUAAAACCUCUAGAUAACUUCUUUACUCUGAGGGUAUUUUUGUCUGAUGUUGGGAACUAUGAUGCCAGGGGCAGCAGACCGUGUGCAGAUGAGCCUUUGCUACGCUUUGCUACGCUAUCCUGAAAAACCCUGGAUUAGAAACGGGCGGUUCGGCGAGUGUGUCCGAUAUGGCUCACACCUGGCCAUGAACUGGGGUUAUACCGGGUACAUUACAAAUGCUACAAUGUGCUUAGACACGCUUCAGUAAGGUUACUGAGAAUUUACAGUUGUGUAUU
Molecule: long non-coding RNA, 954 nt
Organism: Micropterus dolomieu (smallmouth bass)
Lineage: Eukaryota; Metazoa; Chordata; Actinopteri; Centrarchiformes; Centrarchidae
Exons: 4
Source: RefSeq, a predicted model, not a curated record